RNAcentral lists this long non-coding RNA (208 nucleotides) under Gossypium barbadense (sea-island cotton). RNAcentral describes it as "long non-coding RNA (GBAR_LNC014099)". The record is from RNAcentral. Lineage: Eukaryota; Viridiplantae; Streptophyta; Magnoliopsida; Malvales; Malvaceae.
AUUAUAUGCGAAGGGUCUGAUUGGUACCGUCGUAGCAUGGAUACAUGAAACUCAUUAUGAAUCUUUUCUAAUUCUGACGGUAAAGCUAGCCGAUAUGCCACUAGCCCUAUUCUUUCGAUAAUCUCAUAUGGCCCGAUAAUCAAGGACUAAGCCUCCCUUUUUGACCGAAAUGAAGAAUCCUCUUCUAGGGCGAUACUUUCAAAAAGAC